This 204-nucleotide long non-coding RNA is filed under the name Elaeis guineensis (African oil palm). RNAcentral's name for it is "long non-coding RNA (EGUI_LNC045326)". Lineage: Eukaryota; Viridiplantae; Streptophyta; Magnoliopsida; Arecales; Arecaceae. The record is from RNAcentral.
CCAUUUGUAUUCACGAGAAGUUUCUUCUCAUGAAUUUUCUCUCAUGUAAAGCCCUUCCCACACCCCACAUUUGUGCACCACAUAGGUGGAUAAGGAUGGUUGGUUGGCCAUUCAAAUUCAAAAUAAAGUUUGAAUUUGAAUGAGCAACCAAUCCGUGCGCCAUGUUCUUAUCUUCUUUAGCACCCCAUAUCUUACACGAGAAAG